GCUGGGUGUUGGUGGCGCACGCCUUUAAUCCCAGCACUCGGGAGGCAGAGGCAGGAGGAUCUCUGUGAGUUCGAGGCCAGCCUGGUCUCCAGAGCGAGUGCCAGGACAGCCUCCAAAGCCACAGAGAAACCCUGUCUCGAAAAACAGGGAAAAAAGAGUCCUGACUAGAAAUGGGGAGCUAGCUUAGUUGACAAUGCAUUUUGAGACAGGGUUUCUCUGUGUAGCUUUGGAGCCUAUCCUGGCCCUCGCUCUGGAGACCAGGCUGGCCUGGAACUCACAGAGAUCUACCUGCCUCUG
This 297-nucleotide small RNA is filed under the name Cricetulus griseus (Chinese hamster). Its description in RNAcentral is "Metazoan signal recognition particle RNA (ENSCGRG00015039744.1)". The record is from RNAcentral. Lineage: Eukaryota; Metazoa; Chordata; Mammalia; Rodentia; Cricetidae.